AUGGAUUGCCUUCUACUGUUUGAACCUACAGCCAUGAACUUACAACACCUUCAGGAUGCUCCACCAUUUGCUGUAUUACAAAAUGUGUUUUGCCAAUGUCACAUUCACAAUAUGGAAGAAAAAGACACCCACACACACCCACAAAAAAGUCGUCAAGAUCGCAAUGACAACAUCCCGGAUCAACACCACUCAUAUACUGCAGAGUAUACAGAGUACUGAAACCUAAAGAUGUCCGAGGUCCACUCCCUGUGCAACUGACACUCGACUGCCAUUGGCUCAUCUGCGUUCAAGGGGAGGGGCUUACCAAUAGGUCAAUUGAAGAGCCUGAUUUCAUGCAUAAAAUCAACCCAGAUAGUGUCAUGCCCUGCAUCUCAAUGUUCAUACUAUCCAUCCUAAAUAGUAUGUGAGAGUAUGUGUUGAAAAGAGUAUGCCAAAAGUCCCAGAAUGGACUACUAUUUCAGGUUGAUUUUUGAAGUGUGGAUCCAUGCACACUCUAAUGCCUAAAAUUGCCCACAAUCCAUUGCGCUUUGUGAUAGUAUGUCCCAAAGCUUGCCUACUCGUCUACUACAGACUCAAAAGUGUGUACUUUUUCUUCACCAAAAGAGUACAUACUUUAAGGAAGUAGUAUAAGUAGGCACAUUGAGACGCAGGGUUGUAUUCCCUCUUAAUUGGUCCUCUUAAUGAAGAGCACUUGUUGCAUUUGCUUUAGAGGGACAUUUACGUUCAAUUUUCUUAAGAACUGUUUGAAGUAACUGAUAACUGAUAAUAGUUUGUGCUGCAUAUUUCAAAUGUGCACAUUCUGUUCUAUAUAAGUUCCAGUAAACACCAAUGCAAUUUUGUGGCAAAAAUGCAGCAAAACGUUUUGAAGAUCAGACAGCUAUUUUCUUUGUAAUGAUAAGUAAGUAAGUAAGUAAGUAGAGUCCUCCAGGAUUAGACAGGAACAGCAUGUGAAGGGCAAUCAGAACGCUGCGACAGAACGCUCAUCAAAAGACUAAUCCUUGUGCUGGAAAAAAGCUCUAUCACCAAAUUCCCUGCAAGACUGUUGAACAU
Long non-coding RNA from Cyprinus carpio carpio, 1050 nucleotides. The record is from Ensembl. Lineage: Eukaryota; Metazoa; Chordata; Actinopteri; Cypriniformes; Cyprinidae.